RNAcentral lists this unclassified non-coding RNA (395 nucleotides) under soil metagenome. RNAcentral describes it as "partial contains 5.8S ribosomal RNA, internal transcribed spacer 2, and large subunit ribosomal RNA". The stretch from base 1 to 120 matches the Rfam family "5.8S ribosomal RNA", at positions 35 to 154 of the family's 154-position model. The record is from RNAcentral.
GAUGAAGAACGUAGUGAAAUGCGAUAAGUAAUGUGAAUUGCAGAAUUCAGUGAAUCAUCGAAUCUUUGAACGCACCUUGCGCCUUUUGGUAUUCCGAAAGGCACACCUGUUUGAGCGUCAUGAAUACCUCAAUCUCCAUCUUUUCUUCGGAUUGAUGGGUGACUUGGAUGUUGAGCCCUGCUGGUAUGCUAUAUCAGCUGGCUUUAAACUUAUUAGCCGGCUCUGUACUGGAUCGGUUUGACUCGACGUGAUAAUAUUAUCGUUGAGGAUGCAUGUCUCAUGCAGCCGGAAAGUAUCAAAGCAGCUUCUAGCUUGCCUUUAGUGCACUUUUACAUUUUAGACCUCAGAUCAGGUGGGACUACCCGCUGAACUUAAGCAUAUCAAUAAGCGGGGGA